GAUGAACGCUGGCGGCGUGCCUAAUACAUGCAAGUCGAGCGAACAGACGAGGAGCUUGCUCCUCUGACAUUAGCGGCGGACGGGUGAGUAACACGUGGAUAACCUACCUAUAAGACUGGGAUAACUUCGGGAAACCGGAGCUAAUACCGGAUAAUAUAUUGAACCGCAUGGUUCAAUAGUGAAAGACGGUUUUGCUGUCACUUAUAGAUGGAUCCGCGCCGCAUUAGCUAGUUGGUAAGGUAACGGCUUACCAAGGCAACGAUGCGUAGCCGACCUGAGAGGGUGAUCGGCCACACUGGAACUGAGACACGGUCCAGACUCCUACGGGAGGCAGCAGUAGGGAAUCUUCCGCAAUGGGCGAAAGCCUGACGGAGCAACGCCGCGUGAAUGAUGAAGGUCUUCGGAUCGUAAAACUCUGUUAUUAGGGAAGAACAAAUGUGUAAGUAACUAUGCACGUCUUGACGGUACCUAAUCAGAAAGCCACGGCUAACUACGUG
This 497-nucleotide ribosomal RNA is filed under the name uncultured bacterium. RNAcentral describes it as "partial 16S ribosomal RNA". It matches the Rfam family "Bacterial small subunit ribosomal RNA", at positions 28 to 507 of the family's 1533-position model. The record is from RNAcentral.